AGUGAACGCUGGCGGUAGGCCUAACACAUGCAAGUCGAACGGCAGCACAGUAAGAGCUUGCUCUUACGGGUUGCGAGUGGCGGACGGGUGAGGAAUACAUCGGACUCUACUUUUUCGUGGGGGAUAACGUAGGGAAACUUACGCUAAUACCGCAUACGACCUACGGGUGAAAGCAGGGGAUCUUCGGACCUUGCGCGAUUGAAUGAGCCGAUGUCGGAUUAGCUAGUUGGCGGGGUAAAGGCCCACCAAGGCGACGAUCCGUAGCUGGUCUGAGAGGAGGAUCAGCGACACUGGAACUGAGACACGGUCCAGACUCCUACGGGAGGCAGCAGUGGGGAAUAUUGGACAAUGGGCGCAAGCCUGAUCCAGCCAUACCGCGUGGGUGAAGAAGGCCUUCGGGUUGUAAAGCCCUUUUGUUGGGAAAGAAAAGCAGCAGGUUAAUACCCCGCUGUUCUGACGGUACCCAAAGAAUAAGCACCGGCUAACUUCGUG
RNAcentral lists this ribosomal RNA (492 nucleotides) under uncultured bacterium. RNAcentral's name for it is "partial 16S ribosomal RNA". It matches the Rfam family "Bacterial small subunit ribosomal RNA", at positions 29 to 507 of the family's 1533-position model. The record is from RNAcentral.